AUUAUAAGAUUAAGAGAAAUAUGAAUAUAAAAUUAGAUUUGAUAUGAUUUCAUGUCCAAAGUCAUAUUCGAAAUGUAGUACGAUCACAAGAUUUAAUUGCAUGGUAACUUACCACUGAAGGAUAUUUUUGAUAUUUUCAUCAAAAUUUUAUAUCUUUUGGAUAGAUAUGAUACGUUGUUAGACGUCAAUCUUGUCUUGUAGGUU
This 204-nucleotide long non-coding RNA is filed under the name Elaeis guineensis (African oil palm). RNAcentral describes it as "long non-coding RNA (EGUI_LNC061027)". The record is from RNAcentral. Lineage: Eukaryota; Viridiplantae; Streptophyta; Magnoliopsida; Arecales; Arecaceae.